RNAcentral lists this ribosomal RNA (492 nucleotides) under uncultured bacterium. RNAcentral describes it as "partial 16S ribosomal RNA". It matches the Rfam family "Bacterial small subunit ribosomal RNA", at positions 29 to 507 of the family's 1533-position model. The record is from RNAcentral.
AGUGAACGCCGGCGGUAGGCCUAACACAUGCAAGUCGAACGGCAGCACAGUAAGAGCUUGCUCUUACGGGUGGCGAGUGGCGGACGGGUGAGGAAUACAUCGGAAUCUACUUUUUCGUGGGGGAUAACGUAGGGAAACUUACGCUAAUACCGCAUACGACCUACGGGUGAAAGCAGGGGAUCUUCGGACCUUGCGCGAUUGAAUGAGCCGAUGUCGGAUUAGCUAGUUGGCGGGGUAAAGGCCCACCAAGGCGACGAUCCGUAGCUGGUCUGAGAGGAUGAUCAGCCACACUGGAACUGAGACACGGUCCAGACUCCUACGGGAGGCAGCAGUGGGGAAUAUUGGACAAUGGGCGCAAGCCUGAUCCAGCCAUACCGCGUGGGUGAAGAAGGCCUUCGGGUUGUAAAGCCCUUUUGUUGGGAAAGAAAAGCAGCAGGUUAAUACCCCGCUGUUCUGACGGUUCCCAAAGAAUAAGCACCGGCUAACUUCGUG